AUGUGUGAUGUCCGUCCCACCCUGACGGUGCUUCCCCCCUCCAGUGAGGAGCUGCUGAAGGGGAAGGCCACGCUCAUGUGCCUGGCCAACAAGGGCUUCCCCUCAGACUGGAGUCUGGCCUGGAAGGUGGACGGCAGCAGCAGCAGCAGCAGCUGGGAGGAGAGCAGGAGCCCCGGGGUGCUGGAGAAGGACGGCAAAUACAGCUGGAGCAGCACCCUGAGGCUCCCUGCAGACCAGUGGGAGAAGGUGGGCUCUGUGACCUGUGAGGCCACCCAGGGCUCCCAGACUCCACUCUCAGAGACACUGAGGAGAGACCAGUGUUCCCAGUCCUGA
Sander lucioperca (pikeperch) is the source of this 333-nucleotide non-coding RNA. Lineage: Eukaryota; Metazoa; Chordata; Actinopteri; Perciformes; Percidae. The record is from the annotation of a RefSeq genome assembly.